GCGCUGCUUCGUGCCGCCUCUGCCGCCACAGCCGCGAUUCUCGUCGGUCCUUCAUCAUUCGAAUCCAAAGUCGCGGCGAUCAAACGAAAAGCGGUCCAAACAAGCUGUACGUAAAUAAUAUCGGGUUUAUUUUACAUCGCGAGCGACCUCCGUUAAUUCACUAAUUAGUGUAUCAAUCAAUCGGUGCAGCGAUACAUCGUUGCUCGCAAUUAACAAUCUUCUACGUAAACAUUUACUUUGCAAAUCUCGUUGAGAAGUCCAUAACCUUCUGGAACUUGUACUUUCGGUGAAAACUAAUAAACAUUCAGUGAGAAAGUUGUAUACAAAUAAUUAAUAUGUGAUGUUUUCAAUAACAACUUCCUUUUUCCAAUAUGGCAGCGGAUUUUUUGUUGUAACAGAUUUUCUUUGCGAUUAAAACGUCAGAAAAUGUUCGGAGGACGAGCAUUGCGGACGCCACCAGGUGUUCGAAGCUUCAAUUGUGCGCCAGUUUAGCUGCAAGCAAUACGUCGAAUACAAUGGAAACAACCGAGAUUGAAGAUCCUUCGGCUGGGUUUUUGGAUAGCACGCGUUUUUGGGUGCAACGUGUGUUUGUGCCGAUAUUGGUUAUCAUCGGCGUGGGUGGCAACAUUGUCACGGUCAUGAUAUUAACAAGGAGGCGAAUGAGAUGCACCACACACAUCUACCUGACUGCUUUGGCUGUGGCGGACCUGAUUUAUUUGCUAUUCGUGUUCGUGUUAUCAUUUGAACAUUAUUCCAACAUUCACGACGGGCGAUUCGUAUUAUAUUGGAGAUUUUAUGGCAUGACGCAUUGGUUAUGUGAUGCAGCAAGUAGUACAUCAGUAUGGCUAAUAGUAUCCUUCACCGUAGAACGGUACAUAAUAGUCUGUCAUCCCCUACGAGGAAAAGUAUACUGUACGGAAAGUCGUGCGAAAAGCAUCAUAACCGUGAUAAGUUUGCUCUGUCUCAUUUCUACGGCCUCCACAACCUUUGAGUAUCAACUUUCAGUCCGAGCACAUUGUCUAGAAGUAAACAAUGCGACGCAAACAUCAAUCGUAAACGAUACGUACAUUACGCCAACGACGGAAUAUCUAGACGAAGGCGACGAGGAAAUCCAACACGACCAGUCGUCAUGCAAUGGAAAUUGUCCCACAGCUGCCAAUGCAACAAAUUCCAGCGAAGUAGAAACUUGUUUGAAGAAAACGCAUACUAUUUAUACCGAGGGAACUGAUCUCAGCAAAAAUGUUACAUAUACAACCAUCUUCUAUUGGUUCUCAUCGAUCACAUUCGGAUUACUUCCAUUCGUAUUAAUUGCUAUGUUCAAUAGCUUUCUGGUGGCUGCGGUUUAUCGUUCCAUGCGGACACGGAAAGCUCUAACUAAUGCAGCUGAGAAUACCAGACAAAGACAUGAAAAUCGCAUUACCAUAUUACUCAUUGGGAUUGUGGUAUUAUUUCUUGUGUGCCAAACACCAACCGCAGCAUUUUUAAUUUAUGAUGCCUUGGAUACUACUGCUCCAAGCAAAAGUGGCGAAAAUAUUAAAAGGGGGCUGGGCAACAUUUUCAACUUAUUGAUCACACUGAACGCAUCCUUGAAUUUUCUAAUGUACUGCGUACUGUCGGCCAAUUACCGGAGCACAUUUCGCUCGGUUUUCUGUGCUAAAAAGCUCCACCGAGGGGACACGGCGUUCUCGCGCUACUACCGCGAACGGCAGACGAGCACGACCGGAUUUCGCCGCAAUCAGAGCGAAUAUCAGCGCACUCCAAGAGGCUUGGAGGUAACUAUCUAUGUCUUUAACCGCGCCACGUACGUGAACACCUUCAAUGUGUGUAUACGGGUGUGAGUGUUGCGGUUUUGACGCUCAAAGUAAUCCAAUCAAUCAGCCGGAUUGGAUUAGGGACGAAAAGUGCGAGCAAGAUCUAGUUAUAGGCUCAUAACACGAUUAAACGAACGCAAUGAUCCAAAUACCUUCAACGAAAUAAUCAUCGCAACUACUUUUCUUCUCCUUUUAUUUGAUUGUCCACCAGUUUGACGAGUAUACCACGCUCAAAGUCGUUAAUGACAAGACCGCUAGGACAUGCAAAAUCAACGGAUCUGGUUGUUUAACAGUCAUCUUACGAUUACAACAUGAAUGUCAGCAAAAGCAGUUGGAAGUGGAUAAAUUGCUUUGCAGCACGCCGCCUAAACUACAACAUAACUCAUGUGUGCAAAAAGAUUUCGUGGUAUACCUAUCAUACGCAAUUUGCAUAAUAUAAAUAAGUUAUGUGACAUAGGUGUUGGUGGUAGGGGCUACGUGUCAGUGUGUGCCUUUGUGACGAAAAGAACCAAGGAUGUUGAGAAUAAAAUUUUAUUGCAUAUGUAAUCAAAUCAAAAUAUAUACUUAUACUUAUAUAUACUAAUUCAUCUUCACUGCGGUCAUAAAAGUCAAUACAGAAUACUUGGAACCGAUCAUAGUCCAUCAGUGUAUAUAUGUCAAGUUUAAGCUGUCUUGCAUGCUAAUCACGGAUACACGGAAUGGUUGCCAAGUUGCAUUGAUACAAUUCUAAUUGUGCGUUUAGUGUUAACCUACGGUUAUAUAGGUAUCGUGUGAAUUAUGUAAUAAAUCGAAUCUAGUCUUUUUAAUCAUGAAUGUACCUAAUUAUUUGUUUAAUGUAUGACAAUUGAUAGUAUUUUGAUUUGUUGUAUUUGUAAUAAAACCAGAGUAUGUUUA
This is an RNA transcript of Dalotia coriaria, 2705 nucleotides long. It is a transcript of the gene named Proctolin receptor, with no coding region annotated. The transcript has 7 exons. NCBI's taxonomy places the organism in Eukaryota, Metazoa, Arthropoda, Insecta, Coleoptera, Staphylinidae. The record is from RefSeq and is a predicted model, not a curated record.